CUGUAAGCCUGCGAAGGUGUGCUGUGAGGCAUGCUGGAGGUAUCAGAAGUGCGAAUGCUGACAUAAGUAACGAUAAAGCGGGUGAAAAGCCCGCUCGCCGGAAGACCAAGGGUUCCUGUCCAACGUUAAUCGGGGCAGGGUGAGUCGACCCCUAAGGCGAGGCCGAAAGGCGUAGUCGAUGGGAAACAGGUUAAUAUUCCUGUACUUGGUGUUACUGCGAAGGGGGGACGGAGAAGGCUAUGUUGGCCGGGCGACGGUUGUCCCGGUUUAAGCGUGUAGGCUGGUUUUCCAGGCAAAUCCGGAAAAUCAAGGCUGAGGCGUGAUGACGAGGCACUACGGUGCUGAAGCAACAAAUGCCCUGCUUCCAGGAAAAGCCUCUAAGCAUCAGGUAACAUCAAAUCGUACCC
This 407-nucleotide ribosomal RNA is filed under the name Escherichia coli. Its description in RNAcentral is "partial 23S ribosomal RNA". It matches the Rfam family "Bacterial large subunit ribosomal RNA", at positions 1241 to 1649 of the family's 2925-position model. The record is from RNAcentral. Lineage: Bacteria; Pseudomonadati; Pseudomonadota; Gammaproteobacteria; Enterobacterales; Enterobacteriaceae.